UCCGUAGGCGGGCGACUAAGUCAGAGGUGAAAUCCCACAGCUUAACUGUGGAACUGCCUUUGAUACUGGUUGUCUUGAGUUAUAGUGAAGUAGAUAGAAUAUGUAGUGUAGCGGUGAAAUGCUUAGAUAUUACAUAGAAUACCGAUUGCGGAGGCAGUCUACUAACUAACAACUGACGCUAAUGGACGAAAGCGUGGGGAGCGAACAGGAUUAGAUACCCUGGUAGUCC
Molecule: ribosomal RNA, 229 nt
Filed under: uncultured bacterium
Lineage: Bacteria
Description: partial 16S ribosomal RNA
Rfam family: Bacterial small subunit ribosomal RNA
Source: RNAcentral